UGGCUGUCGUCAGCUCGUGUCGUGAGAUGGUUGGGUUAACGUCCCGUAACGAGCGCCAACCCUUGUCCUUAGUUACCAGCACGUUAUGGUGGGCACUCUAAGGAGACUGCCGGUGACAAACCGGAGGAAGGUGGGGAUGACGUCAAGUCAUCAUGGCCCUUACGGCCUGGGCUACACACGUGCUACAAUGGUCGGUACAAAGGGUUGCCAAGCCGCGAGGUGGAGCUAAUCCCAUAAAACCGAUCGUAGUCCGGAUCGCAGUCUGCAACUCGACUGCGUGAAGUCGGAAUCGCUAGUAAUCGUGAAUCAGAAUGUCACGGUGAAUACGUUCCCGGGCCUU
Molecule: ribosomal RNA, 340 nt
Filed under: uncultured Pseudomonas sp.
Lineage: Bacteria; Pseudomonadati; Pseudomonadota; Gammaproteobacteria; Pseudomonadales; Pseudomonadaceae
Description: bacterial SSU rRNA
Rfam family: Bacterial small subunit ribosomal RNA
Source: RNAcentral